GGAAACUGGGGUCCACAGUCCAUGCUGUAUCUUAAAGGACGAUAUGGGAGGAGAUCUACUGGAGACAAUGGCUCUUAUAACUCUAAAAUAAACUCCUGGAACCUUCUCCUUGGAGAUUACAAAAGGACACAAGCUCUUGGAGACGACGAUCACUGGAAACCAACAAAUGCUAAAAAUAUCAAUCCAAUGAAUAUGAAGUAGAAUAUUUUUUAAAUAACCUAAUGCAAUAUAUGGACAAACACUCAUUCUAGUAUAGUUAAACUUCAUGAAGCAUUCUUAAUUUCUGGGUGGGUGAGGGAGGAUCUAAAGGCUUUGUGUGUAACAGUCAUGAGUAUGUAAGCAUUGUACAGAAAAAUACUGUUGGUAUAAAAAUUGGUUCUAAGUUGAACAAAUGGUUAUAUCAGAACAAA
This is a long non-coding RNA of Mobula hypostoma (lesser devil ray), 410 nucleotides long. RefSeq lists it as uncharacterized. The transcript has 3 exons. The record is from RefSeq and is a predicted model, not a curated record. Lineage: Eukaryota; Metazoa; Chordata; Chondrichthyes; Myliobatiformes; Myliobatidae.